Molecule: ribosomal RNA, 1554 nt
Filed under: Salmonella enterica
Lineage: Bacteria; Pseudomonadati; Pseudomonadota; Gammaproteobacteria; Enterobacterales; Enterobacteriaceae
Also listed under: 3 other names
Description: bacterial SSU rRNA
Rfam family: Bacterial small subunit ribosomal RNA
Source: RNAcentral
AAAUUGAAGAGUUUGAUCAUGGCUCAGAUUGAACGCUGGCGGCAGGCCUAACACAUGCAAGUCGAACGGUAACAGGAAGCAGCUUGCUGCUUCGCUGACGAGUGGCGGACGGGUGAGUAAUGUCUGGGAAACUGCCUGAUGGAGGGGGAUAACUACUGGAAACGGUGGCUAAUACCGCAUAACGUCGCAAGACCAAAGAGGGGGACCUUCGGGCCUCUUGCCAUCAGAUGUGCCCAGAUGGGAUUAGCUAGUUGGUGAGGUAACGGCUCACCAAGGCGACGAUCCCUAGCUGGUCUGAGAGGAUGACCAGCCACACUGGAACUGAGACACGGUCCAGACUCCUACGGGAGGCAGCAGUGGGGAAUAUUGCACAAUGGGCGCAAGCCUGAUGCAGCCAUGCCGCGUGUAUGAAGAAGGCCUUCGGGUUGUAAAGUACUUUCAGCGGGGAGGAAGGUGUUGUGGUUAAUAACCGCAGCAAUUGACGUUACCCGCAGAAGAAGCACCGGCUAACUCCGUGCCAGCAGCCGCGGUAAUACGGAGGGUGCAAGCGUUAAUCGGAAUUACUGGGCGUAAAGCGCACGCAGGCGGUCUGUCAAGUCGGAUGUGAAAUCCCCGGGCUCAACCUGGGAACUGCAUUCGAAACUGGCAGGCUUGAGUCUUGUAGAGGGGGGUAGAAUUCCAGGUGUAGCGGUGAAAUGCGUAGAGAUCUGGAGGAAUACCGGUGGCGAAGGCGGCCCCCUGGACAAAGACUGACGCUCAGGUGCGAAAGCGUGGGGAGCAAACAGGAUUAGAUACCCUGGUAGUCCACGCCGUAAACGAUGUCUACUUGGAGGUUGUGCCCUUGAGGCGUGGCUUCCGGAGCUAACGCGUUAAGUAGACCGCCUGGGGAGUACGGCCGCAAGGUUAAAACUCAAAUGAAUUGACGGGGGCCCGCACAAGCGGUGGAGCAUGUGGUUUAAUUCGAUGCAACGCGAAGAACCUUACCUGGUCUUGACAUCCACAGAACUUUCCAGAGAUGGAUUGGUGCCUUCGGGAACUGUGAGACAGGUGCUGCAUGGCUGUCGUCAGCUCGUGUUGUGAAAUGUUGGGUUAAGUCCCGCAACGAGCGCAACCCUUAUCCUUUGUUGCCAGCGGUCCGGCCGGGAACUCAAAGGAGACUGCCAGUGAUAAACUGGAGGAAGGUGGGGAUGACGUCAAGUCAUCAUGGCCCUUACGACCAGGGCUACACACGUGCUACAAUGGCGCAUACAAAGAGAAGCGACCUCGCGAGAGCAAGCGGACCUCAUAAAGUGCGUCGUAGUCCGGAUUGGAGUCUGCAACUCGACUCCAUGAAGUCGGAAUCGCUAGUAAUCGUGGAUCAGAAUGCCACGGUGAAUACGUUCCCGGGCCUUGUACACACCGCCCGUCACACCAUGGGAGUGGGUUGCAAAAGAAGUAGGUAGCUUAACCUUCGGGAGGGCGCUUACCACUUUGUGAUUCAUGACUGGGGUGAAGUCGUAACAAGGUAACCGUAGGGGAACCUGCGGUUGGAUCACCUCCUUACCUUAAAGAAGC